Molecule: long non-coding RNA, 588 nt
Filed under: Cavia porcellus (domestic guinea pig)
Lineage: Eukaryota; Metazoa; Chordata; Mammalia; Rodentia; Caviidae
Description: lncRNA (ENSCPOG00000036370.1)
Source: RNAcentral
AGAAGCCUGGCUUUCCAUUAGAGAGUGGGAAGAGAAAUGUGCGGUUUGCAUCAGAUGGCCAUGGUGAGCCUUUUAGGGAAUGGGACCUUUGAACAAAACUUGAAAGAAAUGGUGAGCUACACUCUGACACCAUUCGGGGAAUGCUCCCAAGGGAGGACUAGCCAGUGCCGGAGCCGUAAGGUGGGAGCAGGAAAACAGGAGGCCGUGGCUGGAGCAGAGGGACUGAGUUUGGGGCUGAAGGGAAGAUGGAGAGAUUGCGGCUCUUCCUCUGCACACAUCUGCUCAAAGGAGCUGCUCUAUUGUGAGGCAGUUUUGCACUCGGUCCGCAGGGAUCUUGGUGGGAGCAGACAGCCCAGGCCCUUCAGGUACAGUCCCAGGCCCUGUCAAUGUGUCCCGGGAAGUUCCCUCUCUGGUGGGAGUUGCAGCUUCCUACAACCCUGAGAACUUUGCCCUGCCCCGCUGCAGUGUGUAACAACUCAUCUAAAGGUCGCUGUACACAGGCCUUCUGGGACAUCUUAGGAGCCACAAGGGUAGGUGUGCUGAGAGGUGGCUUGACCAGCUACAGUGUCAGAUGUUGCCCGGCUGGUG